Molecule: signal recognition particle RNA, 244 nt
Filed under: Candidatus Magnetoglobus multicellularis str. Araruama
Lineage: Bacteria; Pseudomonadati; Thermodesulfobacteriota; Desulfobacteria; Desulfobacterales; Desulfobacteraceae
Description: Bacterial large signal recognition particle RNA
Rfam family: Bacterial large signal recognition particle RNA
About the family: The signal recognition particle (SRP) is a universally conserved ribonucleoprotein involved in the co-translational targeting of proteins to membranes. Archaeal SRP consists of a 7S RNA and homologues of the eukaryotic SRP19 and SRP54 proteins.
Source: Rfam by way of RNAcentral
UUGUGCUAAGCGGGGAGUUAGCGGUGCCCUGUUUCCCGAAAUCCGCUUAUGCGGGGCUGAAUUCUCUCUUUAGGGCUUAGUUUGAAACUACCCAACGCUUAGAUCGGUCGCCGCGCAACAGACGGUCGCGAACCUCGUCAGGUCCGGAAGGAAGCAGCGAUAAGCGAUUCAGGCUGUGUCGCGGAUCGAUCCCGAUCAAAAAGCAAAAGGUGGUUACAAACCGGGUUCAACAGGGAGUGCACAA